CACCUCUCCACCCCUGCCUGUCUAUAACACCUGGAAAUCCCUUUUCUUGAGUCAUAUCGUUAUCAGCCGACACCACCCACUUCCCUCCCUCAUAUUUUAUGUCCGACGUGUCAGCCAAAGAGUCUGUCUCUCACUCUUUUUGUCUGGAGCUCAGUUACGCCCCAACUGUAACAAAGCCAAAGUUGCACAAUUAUACCACCAUCAAUUUAUGUGACAGUUGGAAAUAAGGCAAACAUUAACCCGAUUGUGCCAUUUAGAAAGUUGCGGAGCCACAAAGUCCCCUGAUGAUCGCACUCGUGCUAGUUUCACAUUGUCUAAAAUCGGCAUUUCCUGACAUUUCGUAACAAUGACCGAAAAAAGCAAAUGAGGAGUGGGAAGACCGUUGUGCAGAUUGUCAUAUGAGCUUGUGUUAGAGAACUUGGAGCGUUUGUUUCCUGGAAUCCAGUAAGGGGUGACGUGCACAUGCAAACCUGCCCAUUGCUAAUAGCUACUUUGUGGCAACGGACUGACCCGCAGCUCAGUUAGAAAGCAGAGAAGUAGGUGAAUGGCCCACAAAGGUGCUAGUUUGAAUCAUGUGCUUUCUUCCUCCCCCUGUUGGGUUUUAUAUGGCUGUAAAAUCUAUGGAAGCUGCUGACUCCAUAUGUGUGAAGAAACAGAAGCCAAAACAGAAGGUUUCUAAACCCCGACGUUGUGAUGACAUUGUAGCACAAGCAUGCGCCUGGCGCUGGGCCUAUAACGAGCCGUCUGAGCACAAGACGUCCCGAGAGCUGUUAAUGUGUGUGCGCUUGACUGCGAGUUAGACUCACUCUUCAUCAAUGAUGUCAUCAAUCUGCCGCUGUCUUUGACGUCAGGGUCGCAGCGGGAUCUGCUUCCUUAACGGCCAUGCCUCACCAAACACUUGGCAUUCAUCAGAGACUGUGUUUACGACACAACUUCAUAACGUUCGGUUUUGGUUCCGCUACGAUUUUGGUUCCUCCCUGACUCAUGUUAUACUUUUGCAAGACGUUUUUGUGCACUUGUUUUGACAGCCCAACAAACAGAUAGCCUUGGAAGUAUGAUGUCUUUAACAAAGAUGACAUCAAGUUAUCUUUUCUUUUGUUUUAUGCAUCUUGUCAUCUCGGGGUGUGCAAUGUGUCGUUAUUGAUGAGAGAUUUAGCAGUACAGUGAUAAACCGCACUCAAGGGAGCUGCAAUCGCUCAAUUUAAUGAGUUCCAAUACAUGAACAUUCUGCCUUUUCCAAAGAUGAGCUGCUUUACGCCGACCUUAUUUAUCUUGCAUUAUUUGGUAUUGAAUUAAUAUGUUACCCUUUCACUAUGAUGUCCUCAAAAUCUUUCUUAUCGUAUGAUUUUAAAAUCACUCGAUUAAUAGCUAACAAAUGCAUCGCAAAACCAA
This is a long non-coding RNA of Syngnathus acus (greater pipefish), 1392 nucleotides long. RefSeq lists it as uncharacterized. NCBI's taxonomy places the organism in Eukaryota, Metazoa, Chordata, Actinopteri, Syngnathiformes, Syngnathidae. The transcript has 3 exons. The record is from RefSeq and is a predicted model, not a curated record.